GGGCUUAGGUGCUUACCAAAGUCACCAGGGUGGGGUUAGAGGGUAAGGUAAGGCUAUUGGACAUGCUGGCUUGAGUGGAGUGGCAACUCCACAAUGCAAACUUAAACUCAUGCCAAAUAUGUACAUGCAUCAAAGGUGGUUGAUGAAAUGCCAAAGGCUCCUAAAGAGGUUUGAUGCCCAUCAAAAUCUCCAGAUCAGGGUCUCACUAGGUGCUAGCCAUGCUUG
This 225-nucleotide long non-coding RNA is filed under the name Hordeum vulgare. Its description in RNAcentral is "long non-coding RNA (HVUL_LNC015624)". The record is from RNAcentral. Lineage: Eukaryota; Viridiplantae; Streptophyta; Magnoliopsida; Poales; Poaceae.